Molecule: ribosomal RNA, 253 nt
Filed under: uncultured bacterium
Lineage: Bacteria
Description: partial 16S ribosomal RNA
Rfam family: Bacterial small subunit ribosomal RNA
Source: RNAcentral
UACAGAGGGUGCGAGCGUUGUUCGGAAUUAUUGGGCGUAAAGGGCGCGUAGGCGGUGCGGUAAGUCACCUGUGAAAUCUCCUGGCUCAACUGGGAGCUUGCAGGCGAAACUGCCGUGCUGGAGUGUGGGAGAGGUGCGUGGAAUUCCUGGUGUAGCGGUGAAAUGCGUAGAUAUCAGGAGGAACACCGGUGGUGUAAACGGCUUUCUGGACCAUAACUGACGCUGAGGCACGAAAGCGUGGGUAGCAAACAGG